This 490-nucleotide ribosomal RNA is filed under the name uncultured Alphaproteobacteria bacterium. RNAcentral's name for it is "bacterial SSU rRNA". It matches the Rfam family "Bacterial small subunit ribosomal RNA", at positions 8 to 532 of the family's 1533-position model. The record is from RNAcentral. Lineage: Bacteria; Pseudomonadati; Pseudomonadota; Alphaproteobacteria.
AGAGUUUGAUCCUGGCUCAGGACGAACGCUGGCGGCGCGCUUAACACAUGCAAGUCGUACGAAGACAUCAGCUUCGGUUGGUGUUUUAGUGGCGCACGGGUGAGUAACGCGUGGGAACCUACCUUAAGGUACGGGACAACAGUUGGGAACGGCUGCUAAUACCGUAUGUGCCCCUCGGGGGAAAGAUUUAUCGCCUUAGGAUGGGCCCGCGUUGGAUUAGCUUGUUGGUGGGGUAAAGGCCUACCAAGGCUACGAUCUAUAGCUGGUUUGAGAGGAUGAUCAGCCACACUGGGACUGAGACACGGCCCAGACUCCUACGGGAGGCAGCAGUGAGGAAUCUUGGACAAUGGGGGAAACCCUGAUCCAGCGACGCCGCGUGGGUGAUGAAGGCCUUCGGGUUGUAAACCCCUUUUAUCUGUGAAGAUGAUGACGGUAGCAGAUGAAUAAGCACCGGCUAACUCCGUGCCAGCAGCCGCGGUAAUAAGGGCGA